UACGGAGGGGGCUAGCGUUGUUCGGAAUUACUGGGCGUAAAGCGUACGUAGGCGGCUUUGUAAGUUAGAGGUGAAAGCCCGGGGCUCAACUCCGGAAUUGCCUUUAAGACUGCAUCGCUUGAAUCAUGGAGAGGUGAGUGGAAUUCCGAGUGUAGAGGUGAAAUUCGUGGAUAUUCGGAAGAACACCAGUGGCGAAGGCGACUCACUGGACAUGUAUUGACGCUGAGGUGCGAAAGCGUGGGGAGCAAACAGG
This 253-nucleotide ribosomal RNA is filed under the name uncultured bacterium. RNAcentral's name for it is "partial 16S ribosomal RNA". It matches the Rfam family "Bacterial small subunit ribosomal RNA", at positions 524 to 776 of the family's 1533-position model. The record is from RNAcentral.